GACGAACGCUGGCGGCGUGCUUAACACAUGCAAGUCGAACGGAAAGGCGCUGCUUUUGUGGGGUUCUCGAGUGGCGAACGGGUGUGUAACACGUGAGUAACCUCCCCUUGACUUUGGGAUAACUUCAGGAAACUGGGGCUAAUACCGGAUAGAAGCUCCUGCUGCAUGGUGGGGGUUGGAAAGUUUCGGCGGUUGGGGAUGGACUCGCGGCGUCUUAGCUUGAUGGUACGGUAGUGGCUUACCAAGGCUUGGACGGGUAGACGGCCUGAGAGGGUGAGCGGCCACACGGGAACGGAGACACGGACCAGAGGCCGGCGGGAGGGAGCAGUAGGGAAUCGGGCGCAAUGGGCGGAAGCCUGACGGAGCGACGCCGCGUGAGUGAAGAAGGUCUGCGGAUCGGAAAAGGGUGUUAGUGGGGAAGAACAACUGUGUAAGGAACUAUGCACGUCUUGACGGUACCUAAUAAGAAAGCCACGGCUAACUACGUG
RNAcentral lists this ribosomal RNA (488 nucleotides) under uncultured bacterium. RNAcentral's name for it is "partial 16S ribosomal RNA". It matches the Rfam family "Bacterial small subunit ribosomal RNA", at positions 28 to 507 of the family's 1533-position model. The record is from RNAcentral.